UGCCAGCAACCGCGGUAAUACGAAGGGCGCAAGCGUUAUUCGGAGUUAUUGGGCGUAAAGGGCGCGCAGGCGGUUUUAUAAGUCUGUAGUUAAAUCCCAGGGCUCAACCCUGGAAUCGUUAUGGAAACUAUAAAACUUGAGGUAUGCAGGGGUAGAUGGAAUUCCAGAAGUAGGGGUAAAAUCCGUAGAUCUCUGGAGGAACACCAAACGCGAAGGCAUUCUACUGGGCAUUACCUGACGCUAAGGGACGGAAGUGUGGGGAGCGAACGGGAUUAGAUA
This 279-nucleotide ribosomal RNA is filed under the name uncultured bacterium. Its description in RNAcentral is "partial 16S ribosomal RNA". It matches the Rfam family "Bacterial small subunit ribosomal RNA", at positions 506 to 784 of the family's 1533-position model. The record is from RNAcentral.